GACUUCCACGGACACGGCUCCCAGCGUGUCAGUGGUGGAACCCAAGUACCCUAAAGACAUCCCGGCCAUGCUACUGGGGCCUCCCAGGGCCGAUAAAGGCACCCAGGCACCCAAAUUGGCUGAAAACUUCUGUGUCUGCCAUUUGGCUACUGGGGACAUGCUGAGGGUCAUGGUGGCUUCUGGCUCAGAGCUGGGAAAAAAGCUGAAGGCAACUAUGGAUGCUGGGAAACUGAUGAGUGAUGAAAUGGUAGUAGAGCUCAUUGAGAAGAAUUUGGAGACCGCUUCAUGCAAAAAUGGUUUUCUCCUGGAUGGCUUCCCUCGGACUGUGAGGCAGGCAGAAAUGCUUGAUGACCUCAUGGAGAAGAGGAAAGAGAAGCUUGAUUCUGUGAUUGAAUUCAGCAUCCCAGACUCUCUGCUGAUCCGAAGAAUCACAGGAAGGCUUAUUCACCUCAAGAGUGGCCGUUCUUACCAUGAGGAGUUCAACCCUCCAAAGGAGCCGAUGAAAGAUGACGUCACCAAGGAACCCUUGAUUCGUCGAUCAGAUGAUAAUGAGAAGGCCUUGAAAAUCCGCCUGCAAGCCUACCACACUCAAACCACCCCACUCAUAGUACUACAGGAAACGGGGGAUCCACUCUGCCAUCAAUGCAUCCCAGACUCCUGAUGUCAUGUUCGCGUGCAUCCUAGCAGACUUCUCCAAAGCCACAUCCUAGUAUCAGAAGGCCAGGUGAGACUGCACCACUGCUCAUCACCCUGCGGCAUGAUCCCUGCUCUUAGGUGCUAGGCAGAAGAGAAGGGUGGUCAGGAAGGGCUGGUGAGGGGCUCAAAAGGAAUGCUUGGAAGAACAGCAGUGUUACUUUAGUGAGGUGGUUUCUUUUACACAUAAGUAGGAGUUUUUAAAGUGUAAUGGAAAAAUUAAUUUUUUAAAAAACACCAUGCUUGGAGGGUGGGGGUAGAAACAGAGAGAUACAGUAUUAUUUCUAAGGAAUCGGGUUCUCAUUUACUCUGGACUAGUGACAAUAUUUUUUAAAGCCAGUGCUCCUACGACCUCAGCUUUUAUCUCAGAACCCCCAUGGGUUCCAGACCAAAAGUACAGGAAAUCAAAUUAUUGUCCAGUCUGUCCAAUAGCUUGGAACAGGGAGGCUUUGACUACUGACCCUGGUUUUACACACUGUAAGAUCAAAAAACCAUCUCCACAUUUGAAAGAGAUAUAAGGUGCCUUCAUAGUGAUGGUGGAUCAACAAAUGAAGCUUACUGGAAUCAAGGGGAGGGGGAAGAGAAUGGAAUGGAAUGGAAAGGGAGGCUGACUCCCUUCCCCUGACCUACCACUGAUUCACCAGGCUACCUACUCACAUGAGUAACCUCUCCCAGCUACCCAGUACAUGCCACAAUCCUAUGCUCUUGCCUUCUUUUAUCUGCAGUGUGUGAAGGGGCCCUUUUAAAUUAAUGAGCAAAUGUCCCAAGCUAUAUCAUCCAAAGAUUGUCCUUUCCAUUCUCAAAUCCUGUGAGUGGGAUGACUCAACAGCACUGUGAUGUAUUAUUUUCAAUGAGGUGCCUUUCUUAACUGAUCAAAUGCUGCCUUGUUUGGCCCUAAGUCAAUAAAAUAUGUUAAUUUGU
Molecule: RNA transcript, 1614 nt
Organism: Sapajus apella (tufted capuchin)
Lineage: Eukaryota; Metazoa; Chordata; Mammalia; Primates; Cebidae
Gene name: adenylate kinase 2, mitochondrial pseudogene
Exons: 1
Source: RefSeq, a predicted model, not a curated record